GGACAGGGGAGAGCAAGAAUGGCAGAAAAUAUUUGCACUGACCUGAACCUGCCUGAGCCAGCCAGACCCCGAGCCCAGCAGGUCACUGAUGUGCAAGAUAAAAGCUGCUGCUCCAGAAAACGUGUUAGUGUCGUAGUUGCUGUACUGAUCGUGAUAAACCUUGUCCAGUUCAUCGUCCUGUGUCGGAUAAUCAUGCACCAUCUGACUGGAUGCAGCCCCUGUAAUUCAACAACACAGUCCCCAAUCCCUGAAAAAAAGCCACUGGACCAUUCAACUGUAAGCAGCCCACAGGACUCAACAACCUUGCAUCAAGUCCCUAAAGAGCCCCCAGGCAGGUC
Long non-coding RNA from Myiozetetes cayanensis, 338 nucleotides. RefSeq lists it as uncharacterized. The record is from RefSeq and is a predicted model, not a curated record. Lineage: Eukaryota; Metazoa; Chordata; Aves; Passeriformes; Tyrannidae. The transcript is spliced from 4 exons.